Molecule: ribosomal RNA, 250 nt
Filed under: uncultured Lactobacillus sp.
Lineage: Bacteria; Bacillati; Bacillota; Bacilli; Lactobacillales; Lactobacillaceae
Description: partial 16S ribosomal RNA
Rfam family: Bacterial small subunit ribosomal RNA
Source: RNAcentral
CACGUGGGGAACCUGCCCCAUAGUCUGGGAUACCACUUGGAAACAGGUGCUAAUACCGGAUAAGAAAGCGGAUCGCAUGAUCAGCUUUUAAAAGGCGGCGUAAGCUGUCGCUAUGGGAUGGCCCCGCGGUGCAUUAGCUAGUUGGUAAGGUAAAGGCUUACCAAGGCGAUGAUGCAUAGCCGAGUUGAGAGACUGAUCGGCCACAUUGGGACUGAGACACGGCCCAAACUCCUACGGGGAGGCAGCAGGC